Molecule: ribosomal RNA, 515 nt
Filed under: uncultured bacterium
Lineage: Bacteria
Description: bacterial SSU rRNA
Rfam family: Bacterial small subunit ribosomal RNA
Source: RNAcentral
AAUCAACGCUGGCGGCGUGCCUAACACAUGCAAGUCGAACGCGAAAGGGGCUUCGGCCCUGAGUAGAGUGGCGAACGGGUGAGUAACGCGUGGGUGACCUACCCUUGAGUGGGGGAUAACGUUCCGAAAGGGACGCUAAUACCGCAUGACAUUCCGGGUUCGAAGACCUGGAAAUCAAAGCCGGGGACCGCAAGGCCUGGCGCUCGAGGAGGGGCCCGCGUCUGAUUAGCUAGUUGGCGGGGUAAUGGCCCACCAAGGCGACGAUCAGUAGCCGGCCUGAGAGGGCGGACGGCCACACUGGGACUGAGACACGGCCCAGACUCCUACGGGAGGCAGCAGUGGGGAAUUGUUCGCAAUGGGCGCAAGCCUGACGACGCAACGCCGCGUGGAGGAUGAAGGUCUUCGGAUUGUAAACUCCUGUUGAUCGGGACGAAAAGCUUCGACCUAACACGUCGAAGACUGACGGUACCGGUUGAGGAAGCCACGGCUAACUCUGUGCCAGCAGCCGCGGUAAC